This 214-nucleotide ribosomal RNA is filed under the name uncultured bacterium. Its description in RNAcentral is "partial 16S ribosomal RNA". It matches the Rfam family "Bacterial small subunit ribosomal RNA", at positions 1287 to 1500 of the family's 1533-position model. The record is from RNAcentral.
CCCAGUUCGGAUUGUAGUCUGCAACCCGACUACAUGAAGCUGGAAUCGCUAGUAAUCGCAGGUCAGCAUACUGCGGUGAAUACGUUCCCGGGUCUUGUACACACCGCCCGUCACACCAUGGGAGCCGGAAAUGCCCGAAGCCAGUGACCCAACCUUAGGGAGGGAGCUGUCGAAGGUGGAGCCGGUAACUGGGGUGAAGUCGUAACAAGGUAGC